This 578-nucleotide ribosomal RNA is filed under the name uncultured bacterium. RNAcentral's name for it is "bacterial SSU rRNA". It matches the Rfam family "Bacterial small subunit ribosomal RNA", at positions 512 to 1085 of the family's 1533-position model. The record is from RNAcentral.
CCGCCGCGGUAAUACGUAGGGGGCGAGCGUUGCUCGGAUUUACUGGGCGUAAAGAGCGCGUAGGCGGCCAGGUAAGUCCGGUGUGAAAUCCCUCGGCUCAACUGAGGACCCGCAUCGGAAACUACCUGGCUUGAGUCCAGGAGGGGAGGGUGGAACUCCCGGUGUAGCGGUGAAAUGCGUAGAUAUCGGGGGGAACACCGGUGGCGAAGGCGGCCCUCUGGAAUGGUACUGACGCUGAGGCGCGAAAGCUGGGGGAGCGAACGGGAUUAGAUACCCCGGUAGUCCCAGCCGUAAACGAUGGGCACUAGGUGUGGGAGGUAUUGACCCCUUCUGUGCCGUAGCUAACGCAUUAAGUGCCCCGCCUGGGGAGUACGACCGCAAGGUUGAAACUCAAAGGAAUUGACGGGGGCCCGCACAAGCGGUGGAGCAUGUGGUUUAAUUCGACGCAACGCGAAGAACCUUACCAGGGCUUGACAUGCCCGUAGUACUGACCCGAAAGGGAAAGGAUCCCGCAAGGGAAGCCGGCACAGGUGGUGCAUGGCUGUCGUCAGCUCGUGUCGUGAGAUGUUGGGUUAAAG